AUAUUUUUGCAGUUCAUGAACAUGGUGAUAGGGUGUUCACACGAAUGUGUGAGAUGUGCCACACAUUGUGUGCCUCUGAACCUUGUUAUGAUCUUGGCACAUUACCUAUAUGACG
Molecule: small nucleolar RNA, 115 nt
Organism: Callithrix jacchus (white-tufted-ear marmoset)
Lineage: Eukaryota; Metazoa; Chordata; Mammalia; Primates; Cebidae
Source: Ensembl